Molecule: ribosomal RNA, 133 nt
Filed under: uncultured Paraprevotella sp.
Lineage: Bacteria; Pseudomonadati; Bacteroidota; Bacteroidia; Bacteroidales; Prevotellaceae
Description: partial 16S ribosomal RNA
Rfam family: Bacterial small subunit ribosomal RNA
Source: RNAcentral
CGAGAGGCUGACCAGCCAAGUAGCGUGAAGGAUGACGGCCCUACGGGUUGUAAACUUCUUUUAUAAGGGAAUAAAGUGCAUCACGCGUGGUGUUUUGUAUGUACCUUAUGAAUAAGCAUCGGCUAACUCCGUG